Molecule: ribosomal RNA, 256 nt
Filed under: uncultured bacterium
Lineage: Bacteria
Description: partial 16S ribosomal RNA
Rfam family: Bacterial small subunit ribosomal RNA
Source: RNAcentral
CGGACGGGUGAGUAACGCGUGGAAAACCUGCCGUAUACUGGGGGAUAACACGUUAGAAAUAGGUGCUAAUACCGCAUAAGCGCACAGCUUCGCAUGAAGUGGUGUGAAAAACUCUGGUGGUAUACGAUGGUUCCGCGUCUGAUUAGCUUGUUGGCGGGGUAAUGGCUCACCAAGGCGACGAUCAGUAGCCGGCCUGAGAGGGUGAACGGCCACAUUGGGACUGAGACACGGCCCAAACUCCUACGGAAGGCAGCAG